RNAcentral lists this ribosomal RNA (478 nucleotides) under uncultured bacterium. RNAcentral's name for it is "partial 16S ribosomal RNA". It matches the Rfam family "Bacterial small subunit ribosomal RNA", at positions 28 to 523 of the family's 1533-position model. The record is from RNAcentral.
GACGAACGCUGGCGGCGUGCUUAACACAUGCAAGUCGAACGGUAAGGCCCUUCGGGGUACACGAGUGGCGAACGGGUGAGUAACACGUGGGUGAUCUGCCCUGCACUUCGGGAUAAGCCUGGGAAACUGGGUCUAAUACCGGAUAGGACCAUUGCCUGCAUGGGUGGUGGUGGAAAGCUUUUGCGGUGUGGGAUGGGCCCGCGGCCUAUCAGCUUGUUGGUGGGGUGAUGGCCUACCAAGGCGACGACGGGUAGCCGGCCUGAGAGGGUGACCGGCCACACUGGGACUGAGAUACGGCCCAGACUCCUACGGGAGGCAGCAGUGGGGAAUAUUGCACAAUGGGCGCAAGCCUGAUGCAGCGACGCCGCGUGGGGGAUGACGGCCUUCGGGUUGUAAACCUCUUUCAGUAGGGACGAAGCGCAAGUGACGGUACCUACAGAAGAAGGACCGGCCAACUACGUGCCAGCCGCCGCAGUAA